UCGUAGUAGACCCCAGAUCCAAAAAGAGUAUUUUACAAAAUGCGAGUGUAUGUUUUCGAAACUUCAAGUCGUCGCUAACUACAUAGCAUGUAUUACCAUAUAAGAAAGAUUUGGAGAAACUAAAAGACCCACCAACAGAAUACUCUUUCAUCGAUCGUGAGCAUUGGAACAUAUUUGUCGCUUCCAGAUUAACCGAACAAUUUGAGAUGGUUAGCAACAAGGGACGUGAGCGGAGAAAGAACAACAAGUACAACCAUCGAAUGUCGCGAAAAGGUUAUGCAAACCUUACCGAAGAGAUGAAAGCAAGCACAUCUAAUGGUGAGUUAAUUGAUCGUGCUUUAGUAUGGAAGAAAGCACGAACUACUAAAGAUGGAGAGAUUCCAGACAUAGACACAAAGGAGGUGGC
Molecule: long non-coding RNA, 406 nt
Organism: Cucumis melo (muskmelon)
Lineage: Eukaryota; Viridiplantae; Streptophyta; Magnoliopsida; Cucurbitales; Cucurbitaceae
Exons: 3
Source: RefSeq, a predicted model, not a curated record